Stegastes partitus (bicolor damselfish) is the source of this 883-nucleotide long non-coding RNA. RefSeq lists it as uncharacterized. The transcript has 2 exons. Lineage: Eukaryota; Metazoa; Chordata; Actinopteri; Pomacentridae. The record is from RefSeq and is a predicted model, not a curated record.
GGAAUGAUUGGGGUCAAUUGGUGGCGAAGAUAACGAGCAGAGAAAAUAAAAAAUAGCUUAAAACAAGCUGACGGUUUAAACGCCAUCGUUUCUGUAAAGGAACAUUUCAUACGACAGAUUUCUUUCUGCAGCCUGUCAGAUGAACUCCUAGGACCUUAAAUCAGGUUCUAUCAGACAGAGGUUCUUCGUGGAACAUGAAGCUGUGACGGUUUAGUUUUAGCAUCAGAGGCGUCAGCGUAGCGCCCAGAGCGCCAGCGCUCAGCAGCAGGUUUAUCUUUGGAGGGCUGUUGUUCUGCUGUGACACACGACGUCUGCAGUUACCAAGAGGUCUGUUUAUAUUAAGGAGAACAUCUCUGUGAGGUUUUGUGUUUAAAUGAAGGAGUCCAUCUGCUUUAGUCUGGUGUGUCAGAAACAUCGGCUGUUACGAGGAGAUAAAAACAGGCUUCAUGUGAAGAGACGGGUUUGUGUGUCAGCAGGCCUUUGCACUUUGAAGUGUUGAUGUGAAGACCGGUUAUCAGAGAUGAACGUUGACCCGCACGCUGACACCAGCGACCGCACCGAGCCGCAGCCUCUCUGAGUUUAACUCUGUUUGUGUCUUCAGGAAGCUGAGCCUGCGUACGGAAACCUGCAGCUCAAACACCAGCCGGCCAGCAGGAAGGUGUCAAAGAACAAGGAGGACGUCUACGAGAAUCUGUCCAAAGCAAAGAAGGACGGGAAGAAGUCCAAGUCGGAGAAGAAGAGCGGCUCGGUGAAGAAGAGAUGAAGCUGAUCAGAGGCGUGGAGUCGUAUUUAUGCUCUGUGGUAAAGACAGAACCACCAGAACGCUGGUGUCGGACGCUCAGGGGAAGUUUUUAAUGAAAAUAAAGUCUGUGAUUAGAACAAA